This 433-nucleotide ribosomal RNA is filed under the name uncultured bacterium. Its description in RNAcentral is "partial 16S ribosomal RNA". It matches the Rfam family "Bacterial small subunit ribosomal RNA", at positions 29 to 507 of the family's 1533-position model. The record is from RNAcentral.
AACGAACGCUGGCGGCAUGCCUAACACAUGCAAGUCGAACGAGACCUUCGGGUCUAGUGGCGCACGGGUGCGUAACGCGUGGGAACCUGCCCUUAGGUACGGAAUAACUCCCCGAAAGGGGUGCUAAUACCGGAUAAUGUCUUCGGACCAAAGAUUUAUCGCCUUUGGAUGGGCCAGCGUUGGAUUAGCUAGUUGGUAGGGUAAAAGCCUACCAAGGCGACGAUCCAUAGCUUGUCUGAGAGGAUGAUCAGCCACACUGGGACUGAGACACGGCCCAGACUCCUACGGGAGGCAGCAGUGGGGAAUAUUGUACAAUGGGCGAAAGCCUGAUCCAGCAAUGCCGCGUGAGUGAUGAAGGCCUUAGAGUUGUAAAGCUCUUUUACCCGGGAUGAUAAUGACAGUACCGGGAGAAUAAGCGCCGGCUAACUCCGUG